RNAcentral lists this non-coding RNA (31 nucleotides) under Mus musculus (house mouse). Lineage: Eukaryota; Metazoa; Chordata; Mammalia; Rodentia; Muridae. The record is from RNAcentral.
UCCACUGCCUUUAUGAUAAAGCUUAUUCAGA